CCUACGGGAGGCAGCAGUGGGGGAUAUUGCACAAUGGGGGAAACCCUGAUGCAGCGACGCCGCGUGGGAGAAGAAGUAUUUCGGUAUGUAAAGCCCUAUCAGCAGGGAAGAAGAAAUGACGGUACCUGAGUAAGAAGCACCGGCUAAAUACGUGCCAGCAGCCGCGGUAAUACGUAUGGUGCAAGCGUUAUCCGGAUUUACUGGGUGGAAAGGGAGCGCAGGCGGCACGGCAAGCCUGAUGUGAAAGCCCGCGGCCCAACCGCGGGACUGCAUUGGGAACUACCGGGCUGGAGUGCCGGAGAGGUAGGCGGAAUUCCUAGUGUAGCGGUGAAAUGCGUAGAUAUUAGGAGGAACACCAGUGGCGAAGGCGGCCUACUGGACGGUGACUGACGCUGAGGCUCGAAAGCGUGGGGAGCAAACAGGAUUAGAUACCCGGGUAGUC
Molecule: ribosomal RNA, 442 nt
Filed under: uncultured bacterium
Lineage: Bacteria
Description: partial 16S ribosomal RNA
Rfam family: Bacterial small subunit ribosomal RNA
Source: RNAcentral